UACGUAGGGGGCUAGUGUUAUCCGGAAUUACUGGGCGUAAAGGGUGCGUAGGUGGUUUCUUAAGUCAGAGGUGAAAGGCUACGGCUCAACCGUAGUAAGCCUUUGAAACUGGGAAACUUGAGUGCAGGAGAGGAGAGUGGAAUCCCUAGUGUAGCGGUGAAAUGCGUAGAUAUUAGGAGGAACACCAGUUGCGAAGGCGGCUCUCUGGACUGUAACUGACACUGAGGCACGAAAGCGUGGGGAGCAAACAGGAUUAGAUACCCUGGUAGUCCCUGAGCGGG
Molecule: ribosomal RNA, 281 nt
Filed under: uncultured prokaryote
Description: partial 16S ribosomal RNA
Rfam family: Bacterial small subunit ribosomal RNA
Source: RNAcentral